UUGAUACUGCAGGUCUUGAGUCAUGGUGGGGUUGCCGGAACAUGUGGUGUAGCGGUGAAAUGCAUAGAUAUCACAUAGAACACCGAUCGCGAAGGCAGGUGACCAACCAUGUACUGACGCUGAUGGACGAAAGCGUGGGUAGCGAACGGGAUUAGAUACCCCGGUAGUCCACGCCGUAAACGAUGGAUACUAGCUGUGGGGACUUCGGUCUCCGUGGCCAAGCGAAAGUGAUAAGUAUCCCACCUGGGGAGUACGUUCGCAAGAAUGAAACUCAAAGGAAUUGACGGGGGCCCGCACAAGCGGUGGAGCAUGUGGUUUAAUUCGAUGAUACGCGAGGAACCUUACCAGGGCUUAAAUGCAGGCUGCAUGGGGUAGAGAUACCCCUUUCUUCGGACCGCCUGCAAGGUGCUGCAUGGUUGUCGUCAGCUCGUGCCGUGAGGUGUCAGGUUAAGUCCUAUAACGAGCGCAACCCCUACCGUUAGUUGCCAGCAUGUCAAGAUGGGGACUCUAACGGGACUGCCGGUGCAAACCGUGAGGAAGGUGGGGACGACGUCAAAUCAUCACGGCCCUUACGUCCUGGGCUACACACGUGCUACAAUGGCCGGUACAGAGGGAAGCCACCCCGCAAGGGGGCGCGGAUCUACAAAACCGGUCACAGUUCGGAUCGGGGUCUGCAACUCGACCCCGUGAAGCUGGAAUCGCUAGUAAUCGGAUAUCAGCCAUGAUCCGGUGAAUACGUUCCCGGGCCUUGUACACACCGCCCGUCAAGCCAUGGAAGCCGGGAGUGCCUGAAGUCCGUCACCGAGAGGAGCG
This 813-nucleotide ribosomal RNA is filed under the name Flagellimonas marinaquae. RNAcentral describes it as "bacterial SSU rRNA". It matches the Rfam family "Bacterial small subunit ribosomal RNA", at positions 627 to 1454 of the family's 1533-position model. Lineage: Bacteria; Pseudomonadati; Bacteroidota; Flavobacteriia; Flavobacteriales; Flavobacteriaceae. The record is from RNAcentral.